Daphnia carinata is the source of this 795-nucleotide long non-coding RNA. RefSeq lists it as uncharacterized. Lineage: Eukaryota; Metazoa; Arthropoda; Branchiopoda; Diplostraca; Daphniidae. The transcript has 4 exons. The record is from RefSeq and is a predicted model, not a curated record.
UUGCAAUUGCGUUAUUUACUUUUUUGUGAUGGCUUUUGACAGAAACCAAAGUGUUAUUUAUACGUUAGUGCAAAAUUACGUCAAAUCAAAAGAGUGUGUUGCGCACUUGAAGUGCUACGUAGAAAAGGAUAGUGAUGUCAUGAAAGCUGCAAUCGAACACGAUUGGGGUAGGUUAAAAGUUAAUGCCACAUAUGGUAUUAUUUCAUCCCCUAACAACACACAGAGGAUAAACGCCCUGUUUGGCGAAAUUGAAACCUAUCUUACCAAUAAUAUAGAAGCUAUUUUCCCAGAACAAGUAAAUCUUUCUCGAGCAGGAAUUCGAAAGCUCGUUCAUUAUGUGCUGAUACCAGAAGCACUGAGGUAUGGUGUAGCAAUACAAACCAUUUCCUAUAACCUUAAUGCAUAUUCUAUUCAAGACAUUGUAUGGUAUGGUUACGAGCACUUCAUGUGCUGAUUGAGAAAUAUGAAUCUGGAAGCAAAGUGCAACCUCAUAAGUCUGACUCAAAGUCAACAGCAAUACUUGAUUCGAGUAACCAAUGUAUACAUGGAAAAAAGAUAAUGGUAACGUAGUUAUUCUUAUGGAAAUCGCUGCCUUGCUUGUUCGUGUCUAUAUGAUGGUUUUGAUUGCGGAAUACGAGUGAAAAGUUAUGGAUGCAAGUUGUUUCCUUCUGGCAAAGCUAGAAUGGUUUUACUUUUACUUCUAUUAAUCCGAAUACCAUUCUGGCCGACAUUAUGCCUUGCGCUUGUUCGUAUGUGUUGCAAGAAACUGAAUAAAGGUAUGAAAUUGAAAUAAAA